UCCACAGUUCCAUUACCGGCGCUGCCGUGGGGCCAACCGCUCUCCUCACGAAGCUCCAGGGAUACCUCACUUCGGCUCCCACAGGCCGUAGCCUAGCGACCCCGGAAGACAGGCACUGGUGCAUGCGCAUGAAAACCAGGGUCCCAAAAUGCGCAACACGCAUGUGCAAGCCAACGGCCAAACCCAACGGCCGUUGGCGUCAAACGGCUGAGGUGUUGGGUGUUUGCGAAGCCGUUGAGGCCACCCUUGCCCAAUGAGAGCGGUGGCUUCGAGACCCUUCUCUGCUCUCUGCCUGGGCUGCUGGGAGCAUUAGGGGAAGGAAUGGUGGGCGGGAAUUCUACCUCUUACAGUAAACAGCACCAGUUAAAGAAACGUGGGCGGGGACACUUGGAAGGCAGGCCUCUGCUCUCAGAUGUGUCCCAGAGCAGCAGGAACACCAGGAUGUAGGCCUCGUCCCAGAAGAAACUCCCCCAAAAACUCCGUCUCCAGAUUUCCUCCACCCUCAUUCUGUUUCCUCCCCGCUCCCCAGCAGAUCUCCCUGGAAAUGUAGCAGCGGUAACACAGGGCUUUUCAUGGUUUCAGACUGUGGCAGUGUGUCAUCCAGUGCAAAUUUUAUUAAAAAGGGGAAACUACUGUGUAUUUUCCAUUCGAAGUGAAAAAGCAUUUAUGCAGGCCUCCUCUUUGGUUUAUUUUACUUCCAUAGACUCUAUUUGAAUCCUUAAUCCAUGCUGCAUUUUGGAGAAAUAGUGUACUAGUUAACAAUUUUUAAGAAUGUAUUUUAUUUGAGGGUCAGAGAGAGAAGAGAGCUUGCAUCUCUCUGUGGCCUCCCCAAAUGUCCUGGAACCAGGAACUCCAGUCUCCCACGUGAGUGCCAGGGACACAACCACUGGACCCAUGAUCACCGCCUCCCAGAACGGAGACCAGCAGAAGUUGAGCCAGAACUCAAACCCAGAGCGUGCAGGCAUCCUAACCCACAUCCUAACCACUGGGCCAAACCUACCCAGUUUAAGGCAUGUUUUGUGUCUUUAACAUUUGGUAGGUUUUUGUUCUUGUGUAAAUCGUUACACUGUUCUUUAUAUAUGUAUCUUUAUAUAUAUUUUCUGGCUGUUUUCAUUUUUCUUGUGAUGGCACACUUUCCCAUUUUAAUUUUUAAAGGUUAUUCUUUUGAUACCUGUGAGUUUGUUUUGCAACCAGAAUGAAGAAUUUUAAGCUACUAUUUUGUAACCAGAGAAGAGUUGACAAUUUCUAGCAAGCACUUAUUGGAAGAUGAACUGGACAGUAGCAACUUCACCAGAAAGUUGUGAUGCUGAAGAUGCACAUGAAAGAAAAUCAAAAGCCAGACAAAUGGGCUGUUUUUAUUGAAGGAGAAGUUUACUGCAAAUAUUAAGAGCAGAAAACAAUCAAGCCACCCACAUACCCCUGUUUGCCAAAGCCUUUGCUUAUGCAAAAAGGAAAAGCAAUAAAGCACAGCAAAAAGCAAAAGCCAGGGCAGAUCUGAAUGUACUGGCAGGCCCGCAUACAGAUCCAACAGCAGAGGGUGGAGGCCUGAAUGGAAGAACUUCAGACAACUGUUGACCAGUCUUUGACGAACUGCUAGCCUAUGCAGACACAGCAGCCACCCCUAGAAACCCAGACUUAAAAAUAAGAAAAAACAGAAACCUGAGCAGAGACAUCAGUGGCUGGGCACAGCAAGUGAAGAUAGAUUUCACAGGCUUAAUGGAGACAAGUUACUCCUAUAUACAGAGAAAUUUCUGGAAGUUCCUUUAUUCUAUCAGAAGUAAAUUUGUAUUAGUUUGAAGUAGAUUGAGCUAAGAUAUAUAUUGUCACCUGUUCAGAUGUAACUAAUAGCAGAAAAUUCAGAGUAAUUAAAAUGGUACUGAAAAAAGUAUUUAUUUAAAGCAAAAGGUAGUAAAAACAGAAGAAUCUCUUUAGAUAUGAGAAUAAAAAUAAAUAGUAAAAGGUAUAAAUUCAACUACAUCAAUAAUAUUAAAUAUGAAUGGACACACAACUUAAAAGGCAACAAUUACCAGAUGGAAUAAAACAAAAUAUCCAUCUGAUAAAGGGCUUUCCUUAAAAUAUAAGAUAUACAAAUGGCAAAUAAGCACAGAAGAUGGUCAAUAUUAUUAUUCACUACAGAAACAUAAAUUAAAUCCAAGAUGAUUGCAUUAAGGUGAGAUUAAUUUGGAUGAGUGGUGUGAGACCACUUCUUAUUGAGUAGAAUGACCAUCAAAAGGUCAUUUAAAAAGGUAGGAAAUACUGUAAAAGGGAGAAGCUGUAAUUCCCCUACAUUCCUCAU
This is a non-coding RNA of Oryctolagus cuniculus (rabbit), 2296 nucleotides long. Lineage: Eukaryota; Metazoa; Chordata; Mammalia; Lagomorpha; Leporidae. The record is from RefSeq and is a predicted model, not a curated record.